GCUUCGAUAGUUUUUUCUACAGUUGGCAGAUGAAACCAGAGUGUAUCAGGGGGCCAGCUACAACAGCCACAAGCCCUGUGAGCUGUGACCAUCUGUUCUCUUCUCCUGACUCCCCGCUGAGUUCCUGUUUCAGGGUGGUGGAUCCCGGUCAAUUCUUGUCGGUGUGUGAGGUGAGCGCUUUCAGAGGCCCCUGCAGAUUAGCAUCAGUUUUUGUUCAUCUAUGCCAUCAGAACUACAUACCACUGGAGUUCCCUGUCCAGUGCUUGAAAGUAUGAAGGAAGGACAAGCUUUUGAAAAGCAAAGAUGAGUGAUUGAUGACCCUGUUAGCUGCUAAAACAGACACAUUUACACUCUUAUACCACUGAUUGUGCUACAUUAAUUAUAUGCAGACGUUUUUUUGGUUAUAUUUUGUACCCUAUUAUAUAGUUACACAAUAUUAUACCUCCUGAAAUGUACACUUUUGUCCUGUGUAGAUAUGCAGAUAUUGUGCCAGUAAUGUGAAUGCGAACAUACUACAUAGCAAGUAGUUUAUUAUUAAUCACAAGGCCCUUUUUUUGUCUUUUCUGUGGUCUGUAGUACAAACAC
Molecule: long non-coding RNA, 585 nt
Organism: Xiphias gladius (swordfish)
Lineage: Eukaryota; Metazoa; Chordata; Actinopteri; Istiophoriformes; Xiphiidae
Exons: 4
Source: RefSeq, a predicted model, not a curated record